ACCCUCCGACAGUGCGGCGCCCCCUCAGCGCUGACCCUCUGACUGUGUACCUGACUGCUCAGGGGAAUCUGUCUGAGUUGUGGAAUCAUCGUUUCUAUCUUGGGAGUUGGGUGGUGACAGAGUAUCCCAUUUUGAGAAUGUGGAGCUCUCCUGAAACUGCAAACCUGGGAGCUGGGGCUGGCCCUCACUUUGUUUGUCUGUAGCUCAUGUUACUGUGUUCCUAAGGUAGUGUCUCCAGGCUCUUACUGGGCUCUCUGAGGGAGGCAGCUGGUUUGGCCAGUGUACAUUCACCUGUCACUCUUUCUGAAUUCUCACUCCACAGGCACCGGAGCAGGAUGUGAGGACACAAACUGGACCCAAACCUGCCUUCCACUUGGCCAGUUCCUUUGUCAGCGUGAGCCAGCAGACCAGGAAGAGACAGUGGAAUGAUGAUGUGAUCGAGAUCAACAGAUUUACUGUCUCUCCCAGCCUGCUGUGUCCAUCUCACUGGUCAAUGGCUUCAUAUGAGGCCCAGACUGAAACACAGCCCCCAGUAUUGAAGAAGGAGAAUACGCAGGAGCAGGGUUCUGGCUUCUCCCAGGAUUGGAUUGACAGAUCCCAACCACCUGUGUUAAAGCAGGAACGCCUGGAGAAGACCAAAAGUGUGGAGUUUGAGAAUCAUUGACUGGCUAAUUGGGGAGCUGGGAUUGAUGUUCAGAACAGAUGACCAGACUGCUCUCUGGUCUGACCUCUGUCUGCUAGUUGUCAGCUUGCUGCAUAUAAACCUUCUCAGACCUGUUCCUAUUGCACAGCGUUCACAUCCCCCAAGCUGUCAAGUUGUACCGUGCUGCUGCUGCUGUUGGCUUGAGUGAUCUUCACUCUGUGUAAUUCUGCUGUCAUAGGCUUUCCAAUAUCGUUGUUGCCUGAUCUCAGUGCCGUUCUGAGAAACUCCGCAACAAACUUUUUGACGCAAAUCUUUGCAGGUCCGGGAUGGUUUGACCUGAGGUUGUGUUCAUCUGAGCUCCAGUUUAUAUGAUCGGCAGUGGCUGAAUGAGACUGAUUAAUUCGUGAGUGGAAACCCAGCUUCCAAUCAUUUAAAACUGCUAGAAAAAAAAACUCCACUCUCCCAGUUUGGAGUUCUCUGAUUUUUUUGUAUUGAUUGGUUGUUUGAAUUUGCACUUGUUAAAAUGAACAGCAGGUCCUUGGAGUGAGUGAGUGUCACUUCCCUGGAGGGAGGUGGUUACAGAUGUCUGCACUAUUUUGUGUCCUGUCUGCCUUAAGGUAAUUGUAAUAAUCCCACAGCCACUAUGUUUAAGAGCAAGAUAUUUUUAAAAAGAAAUCCCUUUGAUCAUUAUCGUGUUGGUGUGUGUGGGAUCUUGCUGUGCACAAAUUGGCAGGCUUGCUUCCUAAAUUACAACAGAGGCUGAUUUACCACUGUUCAAGCGAGGUUUAUGAAUUAUUUCACUAAUUGAUGCUGCUGGUUCUGUUUUAGACUUUGUCUGUAACUGAGAUGACAAUGGUUGGAAUUUAUUGAACCAAAGAUUAUUUGCUGCUUUGUGCCUUUCAUUUGUAGGGGGAUCAAGUUUAAGAGCUGUGAGGCUAUGCUGCAGGUCUAUAGAGCCCUGGUUAGAUCACACUUGGAAU
This is a non-coding RNA of Chiloscyllium plagiosum (whitespotted bambooshark), 1623 nucleotides long. The record is from RefSeq and is a predicted model, not a curated record. Lineage: Eukaryota; Metazoa; Chordata; Chondrichthyes; Orectolobiformes; Hemiscylliidae.